Small nuclear RNA from Cebus imitator (Panamanian white-faced capuchin), 107 nucleotides. Lineage: Eukaryota; Metazoa; Chordata; Mammalia; Primates; Cebidae. The record is from Ensembl.
GUGUUUGCUUUGGCAGCACAUAUAAUAAAAUUGGAAUGAUACAGAGAAGAUUAGUAUGGUUCCUGAACAAGGAUGACAUGCAAAUUCCUGAAGCAUUCCAUCUUUUU